GACGAACGCUGGCGGCGUGCUUAACACAUGCAAGUCGAACGAUGAAGAAGAGAAACGCGAACUUCGGUUCAAAUUUCACUUCGGAUUAGUGGCAGACGGUUGAGUAACGCGUGAGCAACCUACCUCUUACAAAGGGAUAGCCUCGGGAAACCGUGAUUAAUACGAUAUGACACAUUCAUAAGGCAUCUUAAGAAUGUUAAAGCUACGGCGGUAAGAGAUGGGCUCGCGUCCCAUUAGCUAGUUGGUGAGGUAACGGCCCACCAAGGCGACGAUGGGUAACCGGCCUGAGAGGGUGAACGGUCACAUUGGAACUGAGACACGGUCCAAACUCCUACGGGAGGCAGCAGUGGGGAAUAUUGCACAAUGGAGGGAACUCUGAUGCAGCGACGCCGCGUGAGCGAUGAAUGAAUUCGUUUCGUAAAGCUCUGUUCUAUGGGAAGAAAAGGACUGUACCAUAGGAGAAAGCCCCGGCUAAAUACGUG
RNAcentral lists this ribosomal RNA (482 nucleotides) under uncultured bacterium. RNAcentral's name for it is "partial 16S ribosomal RNA". It matches the Rfam family "Bacterial small subunit ribosomal RNA", at positions 28 to 507 of the family's 1533-position model. The record is from RNAcentral.